RNAcentral lists this ribosomal RNA (990 nucleotides) under Triticum aestivum (bread wheat). RNAcentral describes it as "partial small subunit ribosomal RNA". Lineage: Eukaryota; Viridiplantae; Streptophyta; Magnoliopsida; Poales; Poaceae. The record is from RNAcentral.
AUGGCGGGCCUCAACGCCACCCACUUCCUCACGCCCUACAGCUCCUGCGGCGGCCUCCACCCCGGCGGCGCCCACCUCGCCGCCGCCUGCGAAGACGCGCGGCCUCCUCAGCAGCAAUACUGCACUGCUUCCACAUGCGGUGGUGUUCGUCCGGGCGCGCACCCCGCCUUCGCCUGCAAAGUCGUGGGACACGCUCCCCUGGGCGCCGUCUUCGGCAGCUUCACACGCCCCUCCCCACCUCGACGCAAACUUCAAGAGCUGAAGUGCGAUCCGUUUUCACUGGGAAGCAAACUGGUCUCAGCAUGCGGGGAUGACCAGCAUCCAUCCCUGCCAUGCUGCGAAUUCAUCAUUAACACAGUCGACGAAUACUGCGUUUGCGAUGUCAUUGAGGUUACUGAGGUGACAAGUGCAGGUAUUAGCGUCUCUAUGAUAUGGACAUUCUACAGUAUCUGUGGGGGCACCAGGCCUAUUCCCGCCGAUACGACAGUAUGCCAUGAACAGUCACCACCUCCCCCUCCUCCUGUGAGUCCACCGCCCCCACCACCAUCUCCCGGACCCCCGGCCUCCACGGGUGACUCUGUACUGAAGAGAUGCAUGGACACUAUCUCUCAUGCGCUGACCGAGGCGGUGGUGGGCUCUUAUGCCAUGUCGGGGUUGCUGGUCGUGUCAGUUGGUACUGGCAUCGCCGUGUGGGUUUGGAAGAAAUAUUCAGAUAAGAACAGGGAGCCGGCGCAUCUUCAUGGAGAACUGGAGUUGCAGCCUGUACGUGCCGGACAGCAGUCUACUAUCAUCGGCACUGGAGCUGCACGUCUGCGGAGGCCAAUGACAUCAGCGCAAACCACUGUUCCGAGCACCCCAUCCAUCCCGGCUGCGACUGCGAGCGCCCCGUCCAUCCCGGCUGCGACUGCGAGCGCCCCGUCCAUCCCGGCUGCGAGCGCCCCACCGGAGCUACUUUCCGCUCCUGCCCCCCGGCUAGCCAUCCUAGAGUAG